CUGCUCUCUUUGGCAGCACAUAUGCUAAAACUGGAAUGAUAUAGAGAAGAUUAGCAUGGCCCCUACGAAAGGAUGACAUGCAAAUUUGUGAAGCGUUCCAUAUUCUU
This is a small nuclear RNA of Jaculus jaculus (lesser Egyptian jerboa), 107 nucleotides long. Lineage: Eukaryota; Metazoa; Chordata; Mammalia; Rodentia; Dipodidae. The record is from Ensembl.